AUUGAACGCUGGCGGCAGGCCUAACACAUGCAAGUCGAGCGAGCGGCGGACGGGUGAGUAAUGUAUGGGGACUGCCCGAUAGAGGGGGAUAACUACUGGAAACGGUGGCUAAUACCGCAUACUAUCGGAUAACCCAUAUGGGAUUAGCUAGUAGGUGGGGUAAAGGCUCACAAAGGCGACGACCUCUAGCUGGUCUGAGAGGAUGAUCGGCCACCCUGGGACUGAGACACGGCCCAGACUCCUACGGAGGCAGCAGUGGGGAAUAUUGGACAAUGGGCGCAAGCCUGAUGCAGCCAUGCCGCGUGUAUGAAGAAGGCUUUAGGGUUGUAAAGUACUUUCAGCGGGGAGGCGUUACCCAAAGAAGAAGCACCGGCUAACUCCGUGCCAGCAGCCGCGGUAAUUG
RNAcentral lists this ribosomal RNA (403 nucleotides) under uncultured bacterium. Its description in RNAcentral is "partial 16S ribosomal RNA". It matches the Rfam family "Bacterial small subunit ribosomal RNA", at positions 30 to 527 of the family's 1533-position model. The record is from RNAcentral.